Molecule: ribosomal RNA, 626 nt
Filed under: Erysiphe vaccinii f. elevata
Lineage: Eukaryota; Fungi; Ascomycota; Leotiomycetes; Helotiales; Erysiphaceae
Description: eukaryotic LSU rRNA
Rfam family: Eukaryotic large subunit ribosomal RNA
Source: RNAcentral
AGUCCGAGUUGUAAUUUGUAGAAGAUGCUUUGGGUUGCGAGUUCGGCCUAAGUUCCUUGGAACAGGACGUCAUAGAGGGUGAGAAUCCCGUAUGUGGCCGAGGCCCGCGCCUAUGUAAAGCUCUUUCAACGAGUCGAGUUGUUUGGGAAUGCAGCUCAAAAUGGGUGGUAAAUUUCAUCUAAAGCUAAAUAUGGGCCAGAGACCGAUAGCGCACAAGUAGAGUGAUCGAAAGAUGAAAAGCACUUUGGAAAGAGAGUUAAACAGUACGUGAAAUUGUUGAAAGGGAAGCGCUUGCAACCAGACUUGGGCGCUGCUGAUCACCCCGAGUUCUCUCGGGUGCACUCGACAGCGCACAGGCCAGCAUCGGUUCGGGUGGCUGGAUAAAGGCCGUAGGAACGUGGCUCCCUUCGGGGAGUGUUAUAGCCUACGGUGCCAUGCAGCCCAGCCGGACCGAGGACCGCGCCUUCGGGCUAGGAUGCUGGCGUAAUGGUUGUAAGCGACCCGUCUUGAAACACGGACCAAGGAGUCUAACAUCUAUGCGAGUGUUUGGGUGGUAAACCCAUACGCGGAAUGAAAGUGAACGUAGGUGAGAACCCCUUUGGGGCGCAUCAUCGACCGAUCCUGAU